Molecule: ribosomal RNA, 565 nt
Filed under: Erythranthe lewisii
Lineage: Eukaryota; Viridiplantae; Streptophyta; Magnoliopsida; Lamiales; Phrymaceae
Description: eukaryotic LSU rRNA
Rfam family: Eukaryotic large subunit ribosomal RNA
Source: RNAcentral
AUGCUUAGUAGCGGCGAGUGAGCGGCAAAAGCUCAAAUUUGAAAUCUGGCGCCUUCGGUGUCCGAGUUGUAAUUUGAAGAUUGUAACCUUGGGGUUGGCUCUUGUCUAUGUUUCUUGGAACAGGACGUCACAGAGGGUGAGAAUCCCGUGCGAUGAGAUGCCCAAUUCUAUGUAAGGUGCUUUCGAAGAGUCGAGUUGUUUGGGAAUGCAGCUCUAAGUGGGUGGUAAAUUCCAUCUAAAGCUAAAUAUUGGCGAGAGACCGAUAGCGAACAAGUACAGUGAUGGAAAGAUGAAAAGAACUUUGAAAAGAGAGUGAAAAAGUACGUGAAAUUGUUGAAAGGGAAGGGUUUGAGAUCAGACUCGAUAUUUUGUGAGCCUUGCCUUCGUGGCGGGGUGACCCGCAGCUUAUCGGGCCAGCAUCGGUUUGGGCGGUAGGAUAAUGGCGUAGGAAUGUGACUUUACUUCGGUGAAGUGUUAUAGCCUGCGUUGAUGCUGCCUGCCUAGACCGAGGACUGCGAUUUUAUCAAGGAUGCUGGCAUAAUGAUCCCAAACCGCCCGUCUUGAA